This 253-nucleotide ribosomal RNA is filed under the name uncultured bacterium. RNAcentral's name for it is "partial 16S ribosomal RNA". It matches the Rfam family "Bacterial small subunit ribosomal RNA", at positions 524 to 776 of the family's 1533-position model. The record is from RNAcentral.
UACGUAGGGGGCAAGCGUUGUCCGGAAUCAUUGGGCGUAAAGAGCGCGUAGGCGGCCCUGUAAGUCCGCUGUGAAAGUCAAGGGCUCAACCCUUGAAUGCCGGUGGAUACUGCAGGGCUAGAGUCCGGAAGAGGCGAGUGGAAUUCCUGGUGUAGCGGUGAAAUGCGUAGAUAUCUGGAGGAACACCGGUGGCGAAGGCGGCAUCCUGGACCGACACUGACGCUGAGGAGCGAAAGCCAGGGGAGCAAACGGG